This 227-nucleotide ribosomal RNA is filed under the name uncultured bacterium. Its description in RNAcentral is "partial 16S ribosomal RNA". It matches the Rfam family "Bacterial small subunit ribosomal RNA", at positions 118 to 345 of the family's 1533-position model. The record is from RNAcentral.
UGAGCAAUCUGCCUAGAUGUGGGGGAUAGCCGGCCCAACGGCCGGGUAAUACCGCAUACGCUCUCCUGGUGGCAUCACCGGGUGAGGAAACUUUCGAGGCGUCUAGAGGAGCUCGCGGCCUAUCAGCUAGUUGGAGAGGUAAUGGCUCACCAAGGCUUUGACGGGUAGCUGGUCUGAGAGGAUGGCCAGCCACAUUGGGACUGAGAUACGGCCCAGAUCCGUACGGG